This 549-nucleotide ribosomal RNA is filed under the name uncultured archaeon. RNAcentral's name for it is "bacterial SSU rRNA". It matches the Rfam family "Archaeal small subunit ribosomal RNA", at positions 325 to 878 of the family's 1478-position model. The record is from RNAcentral.
ACGGGGUGCAGCAGGCGCGAAAACUUUACAAUGCGGGAAACCGUGAUAAGGGAACUCUGAGUGCCCGUAAAAUCGGGCUGUCCAUCAGUUUAAAAAACUGGUGAAGAGAGGGCCGGGCAAGACCGGUGCCAGCCGCCGCGGUAAUACCGGCGUCUCGAGUGGUGGCCACUAUUACUGGGCUUAAAGCGUUCGUAGCUGGUCUGUUAAGUCUCUGGGGAAAUCUACUGGCUUAACCAAUAGGCGUUUCAGGGAUACUGGCAGACUAGGGACCGGGAGAGGUGAGGGGUACUCCAGGGGUAGGAGUGAAAUCCUGUAAUCCUUGGGGGACCACCUGUGGCGAAGGCGCCUCACCAGAGCGGCUCCGACAGUGAGGGACGAAAGCUGGGGGAGCAAACCGGAUUAGAUACCCGGGUAGUCCCAGCUGUAAACGAUGCGCGUUAGGUGUAUCGGUGACCACGAGUCACCGAGGUGCCGAAGAGAAAUCGUGAAACGUGCCGCCUGGGAAGUACGGUCGCAAGGCUGAAACUUAAAGGAAUUGGCGGGGGAGCA